CCUACGGGAGGCAGCAGUGAGGAAUAUUGGUCAAUGGACGAGAGUCUGAACCAGCCAAGUAGCGUGAAGGAUGACUGCCCUAUGGGUUGUAAACUUCUUUUAUAAAGGAAUAAAACGAGGCACGUGUGCCUUUUUGCAUGUACUUUAUGAAUAAGGAUCGGCUAACUCCGUGCCAGCAGCCGCGGUAAUACGGAGGAUCCGAGCGUUAUCCGGAUUUAUUGGGUUUAAAGGGUGCGCGGGCGGAGGCACAAGUCAGCGGUAAAAUCGCGGGGCUAAACCCCGCUCCGCCGUUGAAACUGUGUCCCUUGAGUGCGCGAAGGGUAGGCGGAAUGCGUGGUGUAGCGGUGAAAUGCAUAGAUAUCACGAAGAACUCCGAUCGCGAAGGCAGCCUACCGGCGCGCAACUGACGCUCAUGAACGAAAGCGUGGGUAUCGAACAGGAUUAGAUACCCUAGUAGUC
This 459-nucleotide ribosomal RNA is filed under the name uncultured bacterium. Its description in RNAcentral is "partial 16S ribosomal RNA". It matches the Rfam family "Bacterial small subunit ribosomal RNA", at positions 338 to 795 of the family's 1533-position model. The record is from RNAcentral.